GGUUGCAAACCUCGUUAGCCUCGUAGAGG
This 29-nucleotide unclassified non-coding RNA is filed under the name Thermus thermophilus HB8. Its description in RNAcentral is "R3 REPEAT RNA CLEAVAGE PRODUCT from Thermus thermophilus HB8 (PDB 4C9D, chain D)". The record is from RNAcentral. Lineage: Bacteria; Thermotogati; Deinococcota; Deinococci; Thermales; Thermaceae.